RNAcentral lists this ribosomal RNA (193 nucleotides) under Microbacterium sp. 71-23. RNAcentral describes it as "partial 16S ribosomal RNA". It matches the Rfam family "Bacterial small subunit ribosomal RNA", at positions 1 to 192 of the family's 1533-position model. The record is from RNAcentral. Lineage: Bacteria; Bacillati; Actinomycetota; Actinomycetes; Micrococcales; Microbacteriaceae.
UUUACGGAGAGUUUGAUCCUGGCUCAGGAUGAACGCUGGCGGCGUGCUUAACACAUGCAAGUCGAACGGUGAAAGAGAGCUUGCUCUCUGGAUCAGUGGCGAACGGGUGAGUAACACGUGAGCAAUCUGCCCCUGACUCUGGGAUAACAGCUGGAAACAGCUGCUAAUACCGGAUACGAGUUGCGAAGGCAUC